Molecule: ribosomal RNA, 37 nt
Filed under: Oxytropis glabra
Lineage: Eukaryota; Viridiplantae; Streptophyta; Magnoliopsida; Fabales; Fabaceae
Also listed under: 1 other name
Description: partial 28S ribosomal RNA
Source: RNAcentral
CGAGACCUCAGGUCAGGCGGGGCUACCCGCUGAGUUA